GUCAAAGCUGCUGAUUGACAUGCAAAGCAAGCUGCAUUAAAAGCUCCAGCAGGUGAGUGACCUACUCUAAACGAGCUCAGUGAAGAAAAGAAACAAGGGAAACAGCUUCAAUUGAGAAAAAGUCUUUCUCUAGGGAUUCAUCAGUGUCCAGGGCUAAAGAAGGCCUGAGUCUGCACUUGGCUGCUGGCUGCUGUCACUGCUAUACCCAAAGGACCAGAGGCAGACCAGAGGAUGCUCAUACUAGGAUUCAGUGAUACCUCUGGACAGGUCCAACAGGAGAAAGGACAUUGACCUUCUGGCAUCACAUGUGGGAUUGGAAGCACUCAAGCAGACUCUUACAGGAGCAGCUGGAGGAAAAAGGGCACAAGUUGCAAAGGUACCAGCUACAAAGAAGUGUCUGGGAUCUGGAAAAGGAACAGGUCAUACACCUAUGA
Long non-coding RNA from Phascolarctos cinereus (koala), 434 nucleotides. The record is from Ensembl. NCBI's taxonomy places the organism in Eukaryota, Metazoa, Chordata, Mammalia, Diprotodontia, Phascolarctidae.